Molecule: ribosomal RNA, 253 nt
Filed under: uncultured bacterium
Lineage: Bacteria
Description: partial 16S ribosomal RNA
Rfam family: Bacterial small subunit ribosomal RNA
Source: RNAcentral
UACGUAGGUGGCAAGCGUUGUCCGGAUUUACUGGGCGUAAAGAGCGCGCAGGCGGUCGUGCAAGUCGCGUGUGAAAGCCCCCGGCUCAACUGGGGAGGGUCACGCGAUACUGCUCGACUUGAAGGCAGGAGAGGGAAGUGGAAUUCCCGGUGUAGUGGUGAAAUGCGUAGAUAUCGGGAGGAACACCUGUGGCGAAAGCGGCGCACUGGACCACAACUGACGCUGAGGCGCGAAAGCUAGGGGAGCAAACAGG